GACGAACGCUGGCGGCGUGCUUAACACAUGCAAGUCGAACGGAAAGGCCCUGCUUUCGUGGGGUGCUCGAGUGACGAACGGGUGAGUAACACGUGAGUAACCUGCCCUUGACUUUGGGAUAACUUCAGGAAACUGGGGCUAAUACCGGAUAGGAGCUCCUGCUGCAUGGUGGGGGUUGGAAAGUUUCGGCGGUUGGGGAUGGACUCGCGGCUUAUCAGCUUGUUGGUGGGGCAGUGGCUUACCAAGGCUUUGACGGGUAGCCGGCCUGAGAGGGUGACCGGCCACAUUGGGACUGAGAUACGGCCCAGACUCCUACGGGAGGCAGCAGUGGAGAGUAUUGCACAGUGGGCGGAAGCCUGAUGCAGCAACGCCGCGUGCGGGAUGACGGCCUUCGGGUUGUAAACCGCUUUCGCCUGUGACGAAGCGUGAGUGACGGUAAUGGGUAAAGAAGCACCGGCUAACUACGUG
RNAcentral lists this ribosomal RNA (468 nucleotides) under uncultured bacterium. RNAcentral's name for it is "partial 16S ribosomal RNA". It matches the Rfam family "Bacterial small subunit ribosomal RNA", at positions 28 to 507 of the family's 1533-position model. The record is from RNAcentral.